CCGAUGACAGGUGGUGCAUGGUUGUCGUCAGCUCGUGUCGUGAGAUGUUGGGUUAAGUCCCGCAACGAGCGCAACCCUUAUUGUUAGUUGCUACGCAAGAGCACUCUAGCGAGACUGCCGUUGACAAAACGGAGGAAGGUGGGGACGACGUCAAAUCAUCAUGCCCCUUAUGUCCUGGGCCACACACGUACUACAAUGGUGGUCAACAGAGGGAAGCAAUACCGCGAGGUGGAGCAAAUCCCUAAAAGCCAUCCCAGUUCGGAUCGCAGGCUGCAACCCGCCUGCGUGAAGUUGGAAUCGCUAGUAAUCGCGGAUCAGCAUGCCGCGGUGAAUACGUUCCCGGGCCUUGUACACACCGCCCGUCACACAUGAGAGUCGGGAACACCCGAAGUCCGUAGCCUAACCGCAAGGGGGGCGCGGCCGAAGGUGGGUUCGAUAAUUGGGGUGAAGUCGUAACAAGGUAGCCGUAUCGGAAGGUGCGGCUGGAUCACCUC
This 494-nucleotide ribosomal RNA is filed under the name uncultured bacterium. RNAcentral describes it as "bacterial SSU rRNA". It matches the Rfam family "Bacterial small subunit ribosomal RNA", at positions 1028 to 1529 of the family's 1533-position model. The record is from RNAcentral.